AUGAUUCUAAGCCAGAAAGUACCUAAGAUACUUAAAUAAAGUCAUAAAAUGUCAAAAGUAGGUCACCGUGACCUACUUUUUGGUCGACAUUUUCCGAAAACCCAAGAUGCAUCAACUGACAAAGUUUGACAAUUCUAAGCCAAUAAGUUCCUGAGAUACUUAAAUAUAGCCAUAAAAUGUCAAAAUAGGUCAUGGUGACCUACUUUUUGGUUGACAUUCUCCGAAAACCCAAGAUGCAUCAACUGACAAAGUUUGAUGAUUCUAAGCCAAUAAGUACCUAAGAUACGUAAAUAUAGCCAUAAAAUGUCAAAAGUAGGUCACUGUGACCUACUUUUUGGUCGAUGUUUUCCGAA
Saccostrea echinata is the source of this 353-nucleotide long non-coding RNA. RefSeq lists it as uncharacterized. Lineage: Eukaryota; Metazoa; Mollusca; Bivalvia; Ostreida; Ostreidae. The record is from RefSeq and is a predicted model, not a curated record. The transcript has 2 exons.